RNAcentral lists this ribosomal RNA (545 nucleotides) under uncultured bacterium. Its description in RNAcentral is "bacterial SSU rRNA". It matches the Rfam family "Bacterial small subunit ribosomal RNA", at positions 1 to 594 of the family's 1533-position model. The record is from RNAcentral.
GCUUACAGUUUGAUCCUGGCUCAUGAUGAACACUGGCGGCGUGCCUAACACAUGCACGUCGAACGGACUCUUCCGAGUCAGUGGCGGACGGGUGAGUAACGCGUGAGAACCUGCCUCUACGAAGGGGAUAACAGCGGGAAACGGCUGCUAAUACCCCAUGAGCCGUAUGGUAAAAAGGAAUCCGCCUACAGAGGGGCUCGCGUCCGAUUAACUAGUUGGGGAGGUAAAAGCUCACCGAGGCGACCAUCGGUAGCUGGUCUGAGAGGAUGAGCAGCCACACUGGGACUGAUACACGGCCCAUACUCCUACGGGAGGCAGCAGUGGGGAAUUUUCCGCAGUGGGCGAAAGCCUGACGGAGCAACGCCGCGUGAGGGAAGAAGGCCUUUGGGUUGUAAACCUCUUUUCUCAGGGAAGAAGUUCUGACGGUACCUGAGGAAUCAGCCUCGGCUAACUCCGUGCCAUCAGCCGCGGUAAUACGGACGAGGCAAGCGUUAUCCGGAAUUAUUGCGCGUAUAGCAUUCGUAGGCGGCCGUUCAGGUCUGCUG